Molecule: ribosomal RNA, 493 nt
Filed under: uncultured bacterium
Lineage: Bacteria
Description: partial 16S ribosomal RNA
Rfam family: Bacterial small subunit ribosomal RNA
Source: RNAcentral
AUUGAACGCUGGCGGCAUGCUUUACACAUGCAAGUCGAACGGUAACAGGUUAAGCUGACGAGUGGCGAACGGGUGAGUAAUGCAUCGGAACGUGCCCGGUCGGGGGGGAUAACGCAGCGAAAGCUGCGCUAAUACCGCAUACGAUCUAAGGAUGAAAGCGGGGGAGCGCAAGACCUCGCGCGAUUGGAGCGGCCGAUAUCAGAUUAGGUAGUUGGUGGGGUAAAGGCUCACCAAGCCAACGAUCUGUAGCUGGUCUGAGAGGACGACCAGCGACACUGGAACUGAGACACGGUCCAGACUCCUACGGGAGGCAGCAGUGGGGAAUUUUGGACAAUGGACGCAAGUCUGAUCCAGCCAUUCCGCGUGCAGGAUGAAGGCCCUCGGGUUGUAAACUGCUUUUGUACGGAACGAAAAGGUCUCUCUUAAUACGGGGGACUCAUGACGGUACCGUAAGAAUAAGCACCGGCUAACUACGUGCCAGCCGCCGCAGUAA